This 545-nucleotide long non-coding RNA is filed under the name Helianthus annuus (common sunflower). RNAcentral describes it as "sRNA HanXRQr2_Chr03g0098641". Lineage: Eukaryota; Viridiplantae; Streptophyta; Magnoliopsida; Asterales; Asteraceae. The record is from RNAcentral.
AUGGCAAAUAGUUGGUUAGAAAUUCAUUACUUCAGUUACUUUUUGUGUUUCUGGGUCAUUUGUGCUGAAAGUGAAGAAAAUUGGUGAAUAAUCCACUAACUACGAAGCUGAAAUGAGAAUCGGAUCGUCACGUAGCUGAACUGGAAUGGAAAUCGAAGAAUUAUGAUGAAAUUGGACCUUGGGGCUACGCGACAAAGAUCUGGCUUCACCGUGGCAUAGCGCGACAAUAUAAUAAUCAUUUCUGCAAUUUCAUGCCGUCACGUCGCGCGACCACCAAUAGGUUUUCCCGUCACGUAGCGCGACGGGGUUGAAAGUCGGCACAAAUUUGCUGGAUGAUCAGGGUUACACUAUAAAUAAACAUUAACUUCAAACAGCAAACAACUUACGAAUCAGCAAGCUUUUGGACGAAUUUUGGGUAUUCUUGCAAGCAUUUUUUAGAUCUCGGAGUUGUCGGUUGAAACUUUGAAGCCUAGGAAGUCAUCCUUGUCGAGAUUCUGCAAUUCGGGUACUAGGCGUAAUUGGCUGGGAUUUCUCCUUAGCAUCAU